AGAGAGUGACGGGCGAUGUGUACACACCUCAGAGCCAACUUCAAUAAAGAAUUUUAUUCUAAAUUUACUACUAAAUCCACCUUAAUAAUAUUUUACAUACAUUAAUCCGUAUAAUUAUAAUUUAUUGUAACCCACUUCUCCCAUACUUAUAAGCUGCACCUUGACCUGAAGUCAUAAAUUUAAAAUUAAUUAGACUAUAUUUUCUAAAAAUAAUCUGACAACGGCGGUAUACAAACUGAAAUACAAAAGUAUGUACAUUUAAACGUGGAAUAUCGAUCCAAGAGCAAGUUCCUCUAGUAAGAAUGAGGUACCGCCAAAUUCUUUAGGUUUCAAUAACUCUACUACCCUAGCAAUAAAUUUAAUAAAGAAUAAUAGGGUAUCUAAUCCUAGUUUAAACCUCUAUUUAUAAAGCUAAUAAAUUUACCAAAGAUUUUUAAUUUAAAAAAAGAAAGAUUUUACCCUUAAUUUUUUAUCAAAAAAAUCCCUUUAAAAUAAAUAUUUACUCAAUUCCACCAAACUAUUUCAUUUAAAUCCUUCGUUUAACC
This 545-nucleotide ribosomal RNA is filed under the name Triops mauritanicus. RNAcentral's name for it is "partial 12S ribosomal RNA". The record is from RNAcentral. Lineage: Eukaryota; Metazoa; Arthropoda; Branchiopoda; Notostraca; Triopsidae.